Ciona intestinalis (vase tunicate) is the source of this 711-nucleotide non-coding RNA. Lineage: Eukaryota; Metazoa; Chordata; Ascidiacea; Phlebobranchia; Cionidae. The record is from RefSeq and is a predicted model, not a curated record.
AAUUUUCUUACGGCAAUCCCGUGGAGUUUAAAGGGAAAACAUUUAAAAUAUCAUUCGAGUUACUUGACCCAGCUAACACCUAUAGCAGCCACCAGCACUUCAAUGCAACCUUGUUAUGUCAACUCCAACAAUGAUAAAGUCUAUCUACCAAACUACUUGAAUAUUAACCCUGGGAUUCCUGCUUUAAUGGAUUUAUCAGCAAGGGCCAUCAAUCUUUCAACUUAUAAAGAUUCAUUGUUGUUUGACCGACUUCCAAAGAAUGUUUAUGACAUCAUAAUUGAUCCCACCGGACAUUGCAAUUGUUGCAAAAAUAAACUAUUUUGGUCAGUUUUUGUAAAAUCGGUGGGACAUGCGGACUUUGUAUCACUGGAUGGUGGUGUUACCACCUCGCUGCAUUAUCUGGUUUUCUGUUGUAGUUCUUUGUGUUUAGAUUCUUUUAAGUAGUUGUUUAUGCAUUGUUCAUGCAAUUGGCAAUGAGCCCUUGUCUAGCCACCAAGUAAACUUGCCCGAUACUGUAUCUGUGUACUUGUAAACUAAAAAAAGGGAUAAAAUAAAGCAAGAUAUCUUGAACUGUAUCACGACUUGUAUUGAAGAAGUUUUGCAAAAAUGCACCAAACCUACAAUUCAAGUUCUUUCUCUUUUUUAGUCAGUGUUUCUAUAUUUUGUAAGCUCUACAACGAUGUGAGAAAUACAACAGAUCACAUGGGAAAA